RNAcentral lists this ribosomal RNA (501 nucleotides) under uncultured bacterium. RNAcentral's name for it is "partial 16S ribosomal RNA". It matches the Rfam family "Bacterial small subunit ribosomal RNA", at positions 30 to 523 of the family's 1533-position model. The record is from RNAcentral.
AUUGAACGCUGGCGGCAGGCUUAACACAUGCAAGUCGAGCGGGGGAAGGUAGCUUGCUACCGGACCUAGCGGCGGACGGGUGAGUAAUGCUUAGGAAUCUGCCUAUUAGUGGGGGACAGCAUCUCGAAAGGGAUGCUAAUACCGCAUACGUCCUAUGGGAGAAAGCAGGGGAUCUUCGGACCUUGCGCUAAUAGAUGAGCCUAAGUCGGAUUAGCUAGUUGGUGGGGUAAAGGCCUACCAAGGCGACGAUCUGUAGCGGGUCUGAGAGGGUGAUCCGCCACACUGGGACUGAGACACGGCCCAGACUCCUACGGGAGGCAGCAGUGGGGAAUAUUGGACAGUGGGGGGAACCCUGAUCCAGCCAUGCCGCGUGUGUGAAGAAGGCCUUAUGGUUGUAAAGCACUUUAAGCGAGGAGGAGGCUACUUUAGUUAAUACCUAGAGAUAGUGGACGUUACUCGCAGAAUAAGCACCGGCUAACUCUGUGCCAGCCGCCGCCGUAA